Neoarius graeffei (lesser salmon catfish) is the source of this 74-nucleotide non-coding RNA. Lineage: Eukaryota; Metazoa; Chordata; Actinopteri; Siluriformes; Ariidae. The record is from the annotation of a RefSeq genome assembly.
GGCUGGUUAGCUCAGUUAAUUAGAGCAUGGUGUUAAUAACGCCAAGGUCACAGGUUUGACCCCUGUACUGGCCA